RNAcentral lists this ribosomal RNA (440 nucleotides) under uncultured bacterium. RNAcentral describes it as "partial 16S ribosomal RNA". It matches the Rfam family "Bacterial small subunit ribosomal RNA", at positions 338 to 795 of the family's 1533-position model. The record is from RNAcentral.
CCUACGGGGCGCAGCAGUGGGGAAUAUUGGACAAUGGGGGGAACCCUGAUCCAGCGACGCCGCGUGAGUGAAGAAGUAUUUCGGUAUGUAAAGCUCUAUCAGCAGGGAAGAAAAUGACGGUACCUGACUAAGAAGCCCCGGCUAACUACGUGCCAGCAGCCGCGGUAAUACGUAGGUGGCGAGCGUUGUCCGGAAUGACUGGGCGUAAAGGGAGCGUAGGUUGUUGUUUAAGUUAAAUGUGAAAGCCCGCGGCUCAACUGCGGAACUGCAUUUAAUACUGGACAACUAGAGUGCAGGAGGGGUAAGCGGAAUUCCUAGUGUAGCGGUGGAAUGCGUAGAUAUUAGGAAGAACACCAGAGGCGAAGGCGGCUUACUGGACUGUAACUGACACUGAGGCUCGAAAGCGUGGGGAGCAAACAGGAUUAGAUACCCCGGUAGUC